This 73-nucleotide transfer RNA is filed under the name Stegodyphus mimosarum. It matches the Rfam family "tRNA". From Rfam's summary of the family: Transfer RNA (tRNA) molecules are approximately 80 nucleotides in length. Lineage: Eukaryota; Metazoa; Arthropoda; Arachnida; Araneae; Eresidae. The record is from Rfam by way of RNAcentral.
GUUUUUGUGGUGUAGUGGUCAGCACGCUCGACGCGUAUUCGAGAGGUGCGUGGUUCGAGUCCCGUCGAGGGCA